GACGAACGCUGGCGGCGUGCCUAACACAUGCAAGUCGAACGAGUGGCGAACGGGUGAGUAACGCGUAGGCAACCUGCCCUUUAGACGGGGACAACAUUCCGAAAGGAGUGCUAAUACCGGAUGCUAAAGGAUGGGCCUGCGUCUGAUUAGCUAGUUGGUAGUGUAACGGACUACCAAGGCGAUGAUCAGUAGCCGGUCUGAGAGGAUGAACGGCCACAUUGGGACUGAGACACGGCCCACACUCCUACGGGAGGCAGCAGUGGGGAAUCUUCCGCAAUGGACGAGAGUCUGACGGAGCAACGCCGCGUGAGUGAUGAAGGAUUUCGGUCUGUAAAGCUCUGUUGUUUAAGACGCGGUAGUAAACGAGGAAGCCACGGCUAACUACGUGCCAGCAGCCGCGGUAAUACGUAGGUGGCGAGCGUUGUCCGGAAUUAUUGGGCGUAAAGAGCAUGUAGGCGGCUUAAUAAGUCGAGCGUGAAAAUGCGGGGCUCAACCCCGUAUGGCGCUGGAAACUGUUAGGCUUGAGUGCAGGAGAGGAAAGGGGAAUUCCCAGUGUAGCGGUGAAAUGCGUAGAUAUUGGGAGGAACACCAGUGGCGAAGGCGCCUUUCUGGACUGUGUCUGACGCUGAGAUGCGAAAGCCAGGGUAGCGAACGGGAUUAGAUACGCCGGUAGUCCUGGCCGUAAACGAUGGGUACUAGGUGUAGGACUGUGCCGGAGUUAACGCAAUAAGUACCCCGCCUGGGGAGUACGGC
Molecule: ribosomal RNA, 753 nt
Filed under: uncultured bacterium
Lineage: Bacteria
Description: bacterial SSU rRNA
Rfam family: Bacterial small subunit ribosomal RNA
Source: RNAcentral